This 1784-nucleotide long non-coding RNA is filed under the name Cucumis sativus (cucumber). RNAcentral describes it as "long non-coding RNA (CSAT_LNC002287)". The record is from RNAcentral. Lineage: Eukaryota; Viridiplantae; Streptophyta; Magnoliopsida; Cucurbitales; Cucurbitaceae.
CGGAGGCGACGAAGAGAGUGGAGGUGGAGUUGUCGAAGAGGAUGAAGGCGAAACCGCCGGUGAGAUGGGCGACAACAUGGUCGGCAGGAUAUGGAGCUCGAUCACGAAGAGCUUUGUAAGCUUCAAUUACUAAGAGAACUUCAUUGGUGGAUUUGGGAAGGCCGUAUUGAUUCCUCAAACUUCCCAAAUUGUCAAGGGCUCCUUCGAAUAAACAAAAUAUCUCAUCCUUCGCUGCAAAUGAUCUACAAUGGUAAUAAUUACAAUUUUUAGUAUCAAAUAAUUAUAAUAAUUUCAUAGUUGCAUUACCAUCAUCAAAGGAAUAGACAAUUCCUAUAAUGAAUGAGACAGUACUAAAGUCUCCAUAGCUUUCUGUUCAAUGUACUAAAAAAAGUUAUCCUAAGAAAAGUUAUUUGUUACAUUUAAAAAAGCAAAAAUAAAUGUCUCCAUAUUUAUUCUAUCAUAUCAAAAGUUUUAAUUUCUUUUUUUUUAAAUCAUCAGAUAAGUAAUGACGAUGAUAAAAUAACAUAAGCCAUUUUCUUGAACUUCAAAGAGUUUCGAAAAUAAAUAUUUCAUAUUAAGGUAUCUUUUUAAAUAUCUAUAUUUUGGGAACAUAGCUACUUUAGCCAUUGCUAUCAAUACAUGUUUAAUACUUAACUUAGCCAAUUUCAAAGGGAUCUCUAUUAUAUAGGUGUAAUUCUCAUUCUAUAGAAAAAUGUAUAUAUUUAUAGUUUUGACGUGUCACGUACCAAUAGUCAUGUAUUGACCUGUCAUUUAAUCAAUUAUGUAUGCAAAAUUCAUUUAAGAAAAAAGAUACCUAAACUUCCAUAAAUACAUACAUUUAAACCACCUUCAAAUAUAUGCUUUUUAGAAAUUAAAUUGAUACAACUAUUUUUAAUUUUAUCAAAUCUAUUAUAAUAAAUGCUAGGAUUGUAACUGACACCUUUGUGUGUUCUCGUGCACAAGAGGUUCCAAUUCAAAUCCUAACUCCGACAAUUAUUACAAUACAUUUCGAAAAAUAAAUGUUGAGGUGAGCAUUUUCUUAAGUUAGCACGAGAAAAAUAAUUAGUGUGAACUUUAGAUUUAGUUUAAGGUUUUAAAUUAGUACAAAUUAGUUGUAUAAUGGAAAACUUAAUAUUUCCCAAAUUACAAAUAUAAAAUGAAUGUAAUUUCAGUUUCCAUGAACUACUGAAAAAUUAAAAACUGGAAUUGCCAUUUGUGUGUUGAAGAAAUUGAUAAAAUGACAAGAAGGCCCUUGCAAAUACCAUUAUAAUUAUAAAGAAUAAUAUUUAUUCUGUUUUUUUAAGUUGAGAUACGUGGCGUUUAAGUAAACUUAGGAUUUAUAUUUACUAGACACCUAUUUGUUGAUUUAUCUUCAUUCUUUUAGAAAUAUGUGAACUGGAAAAUCAAAUUAGAAAAAUGCUUCAGAUGCUACUCUAUCUCCUAAGUGUUCCUAAAUUGUUGAAUUGAAAUUUUUUGAAUUCACUACAAUUUUGUUGUUUUAAUUUACUUUAAAUGUAGUAAAAAAUAAAAUUGAUAUUUAGGGAAAGCAGAAAGGCGGAGUACGAGGGCGUAUUGAUGGGAGAAUCUCCCGUACCUGGGGCGCAAGGGAGAUUCAUUGUGGUGAGUGAAGGCAAGGUGGACAUGGUCGCCUAUCUGGAGAGAAACGGCGGCAGAGUUGGAAUCAGCGAACCGUUUUGCGAGUGCCGUUGACGAGAUCUUUGGCGACGGAGUCCGGCACCCGGCGGCUACCAGUUCGUCCGGCGGUGACAUGAUCGAACUGCUAA